RNAcentral lists this ribosomal RNA (428 nucleotides) under uncultured archaeon. RNAcentral describes it as "bacterial SSU rRNA". It matches the Rfam family "Archaeal small subunit ribosomal RNA", at positions 474 to 903 of the family's 1478-position model. The record is from RNAcentral.
AACCAACUCCCUGAGUGGUGGGGAUGAUUAUCGGGCUUAAAGCGUCCGUAGCUGGCCUGGUUAGUCCCGCGUUUAAAUCCAGCGACCUAAUCGUUGAGCCGCGGGAGAUACUACUAGGCUAGGAGGCGGGAGAGGUCGACGGUACUUUCGGGGUAGGGGUGAAAUCCUAUAAUCCCGGGAGGACCACCAGUGGCGAAGGCUGUCGACUAGAACGCGCUCGACGGUGAGGGACGAAAGCUGGGGUAGCGAACCGGAUUAGAUACCCGGGUAGUCCCAGCUGUAAACUAUGCGGGCUAGGUGUUGGGGUGGCUACGGGCCACUUCAGUGCCGCAGGAAAGCCAUUAAGCCGCCGCCUGGGGAGUACGGCCGCAAGGCUGAAACUUAAAGGAAUUGGCGGGGAGCACCACAAGGCGUGAAGCUUGCGGUUC